UACGGAGGGUGCGAGCGUUAAUCGGAAUUACUGGGCGUAAAGCGCACGCAGGCGGUUUGUUAAGCUAGAUGUGAAAGCCCCGGGCUCAACCUGGGAUGGUCAUUUAGAACUGGCAGACUAGAGUCUUGGAGANGGGAGUGGAAUUCCAGGUGUAGCGGUGAAAUCCGUAGAUAUCUGGAGGAACAUCNGUGGCGAAGGCGACUCCCUGNCCAAAGACUGACGCUCANGUGCGAAAGUGUGGGUAGCGAANAGG
This 253-nucleotide ribosomal RNA is filed under the name uncultured bacterium. RNAcentral describes it as "partial 16S ribosomal RNA". It matches the Rfam family "Bacterial small subunit ribosomal RNA", at positions 524 to 776 of the family's 1533-position model. The record is from RNAcentral.